GACGUCAAAUCAUCAUGCCCCUUAUGAUUUGGGCUACACACGUGCUACAAUGGACAAUACAAAGGGCAGCGAAACCGCGAGGUCAAGCAAAUCCCAUAAAGUUGUUCUCAGUUCGGAUUGUAGUCUGCAACUCGACUACAUGAAGCUGGAAUCGCUAGUAAUCGUAGAUCAGCAUGCUACGGUGAAUACGUUCCCGGGUCUUGUACACACCGCCCGUCACACCACGAGAGUUUGUAACACCCGAAGCCGGUGGAGUAACCUUUUAGGAGCUAGCCGUCGAAGGUGGGACAAAUGAUUGGGGUGAAGUCGUAACAAGGUAGCCGUAUCGGAAGGUGCGGCUGGAUCACCUCCUUU
Molecule: ribosomal RNA, 354 nt
Filed under: Staphylococcus aureus
Lineage: Bacteria; Bacillati; Bacillota; Bacilli; Caryophanales; Staphylococcaceae
Description: bacterial SSU rRNA
Rfam family: Bacterial small subunit ribosomal RNA
Source: RNAcentral